Molecule: transfer RNA, 72 nt
Filed under: Eutypa lata UCREL1
Lineage: Eukaryota; Fungi; Ascomycota; Sordariomycetes; Xylariales; Diatrypaceae
Rfam family: tRNA
About the family: Transfer RNA (tRNA) molecules are approximately 80 nucleotides in length. Their secondary structure includes four short double-helical elements and three loops (D, anti-codon, and T loops). Further hydrogen bonds mediate the characteristic L-shaped molecular structure. tRNAs have two regions of fundamental functional importance: the anti-codon, which is responsible for specific mRNA codon recognition, and the 3' end, to which the tRNAs corresponding amino acid is attached (by aminoacyl-tRNA synthetases). tRNAs cope with the degeneracy of the genetic code in two manners: having more than one tRNA (with a specific anti-codon) for a particular amino acid; and 'wobble' base-pairing, i.e. permitting non-standard base-pairing at the 3rd anti-codon position.
Source: Rfam by way of RNAcentral
GAGCUUGCACUUAAUUGGUAAAGGACUUCCCUGUCACGGAAGUAGGUAUCAGUUCAAGACCGUUCUAGUUCG